RNAcentral lists this long non-coding RNA (471 nucleotides) under Gallus gallus (chicken). The record is from RNAcentral. Lineage: Eukaryota; Metazoa; Chordata; Aves; Galliformes; Phasianidae.
CUCGAGGAGACCCUUCUUGGCCGUUUCCAUCUCCUCUUCAGUCCAGCGAGAGCUUUCAUUCAUUUCCAGAGAGGCCAGCUCGGCGCUCUGCUGCGGCGUGGCCGCCUCCUCGCUGUUGGCUUCGUUGGCCAUGGAGCGCGUGAUGCGGCCCUUGCGCCGGCCCUGGCUGUUGGCGGUUUUGCGGCCUUUGGAGGUGACGGUUUCCUUCUCAUCGUUGUCUUCCCCGGACGUGUCGUCGUUCUUGUCCCUGCAAAAGCAGGGGGAGAAGAAAUCAUCGUUGGGUCGGCAACGUUUUUAGGUCAAACGACUGUCUCCCUGCACGUGUUCGGGGUGCUUUUGGAGGGGCGGGGCGGCGUUUUUUGCACACGCAGACCCUCUUCCUGCCUAAUUUGGGGUUGUGGGUGGGGGGGUCGUUCUGCAGCUGGCUGCAGCUCCACCACCGCGUGCACGCAGGGACCUGACAGAGACAGG